Molecule: long non-coding RNA, 168 nt
Organism: Talpa occidentalis (Iberian mole)
Lineage: Eukaryota; Metazoa; Chordata; Mammalia; Eulipotyphla; Talpidae
Exons: 3
Source: RefSeq, a predicted model, not a curated record
ACAAGGCGUUGAAGCGAAAACAUGACUGCUGAGCCCAUGAGAUAACCCUCCUCCCAUCACUUCACAAUAAUUCAUGAGCUGCAGUCCUGAUGUCCACUUCCACAAGCAAACUUCAGGUCUUUUUCAAGUGAAAGCAAGUUGAAUACAUUGGUGCAGAAGCUUCAUGAC